Molecule: long non-coding RNA, 1311 nt
Filed under: Vigna radiata
Lineage: Eukaryota; Viridiplantae; Streptophyta; Magnoliopsida; Fabales; Fabaceae
Description: long non-coding RNA (VRAD_LNC006827)
Source: RNAcentral
AAAAACCUUCUCUGUAAGAUUUUCAGUUACACUUCAUACAACCCUUCUUCGUUUUUAUUUGGGUUGCUAGAUGACCAUGCUUAUCCUUUAAAUACCGUACAUGGUACUUCAUAAAAACUGAAUUACCUUUUUCAAUUAUCUGACACUUGCUUAAAAUAUUGCUUUUUAGCUUGGGAAGAUAAUAAACAUCCCUAAUCUUUCUAACUCAUCCAUCCUUUUGCAUAUGCCGAAUUAUUCCACGUCCUUUCACAACCACCUUGGAGUCAUAUCCAAAAGACACAAAUCCGACCUCUACCUUGGUGAGUUUAUCAAAAGAGUUCUCGUUUCCACACAUGUGAUUGCUUGCCCUAAUAUCUAGAUAACAUACUGAGUUGGUAGAAAUCUCAUCAGCCUUCAUCUACUCUUCAUCUUCUUCUUCCCUAUUUUUAUCUGGUUUAGAAACACUAGAUGCUUUCUCUUCCUUUUCAAGAGUUGCCUUCUUCAGCUCCUCAAGCUCAACCCUCUGUUUAUUCAUAAUCUCAUCAGCUUCAUCUAGAAGCAUCCCUUAUUUGCUGAAUCUCUUCAUCUUUUUGUUUGAGUUCCUUCUCCAUGUUUGCCUUCUCCAUAUUUAUCGCAUCAUUUACCGAGAUCACUUCAUCCAUUAUUAGGACCGAGCUCUCCAUCUCCAUUGCAUCUGAGCUCUUUGUCAGUAACAGUUCUUCUGCAUCCUCAUUAAAGAGAUUAGUCUCCCCAUUUGUCUCAACCUUGCAAUACUUUUCAAUAUGACCUGCCUUACCACAAUUGUAGCACUUUUUUGAUCUACACUCAUUUGCAUAGGGCCAUACUUGCCACACUUAAAACACUCAACUCCUGACUGAUCUCCUUAGCCUUUCCCUUGUCCUCGGUCAUGCCAAUUCUGCUGACUGGUUUGCUCCUCACUAUCAUUGUCAAAAUUACCUCGGCCACGUCCGCCUUGUCCUUGGCUUCCCCAUCCUCUCCCUCUAGGAGCUCGGCUCUAAGUAAUUCGAGUUUUAUUCGAGUCAAAUUGUACCUAUAAUGCUUGAUCAAGAGGUUCAACUUGAUCAUCCCAACUUCUUCUCCUUUGUUUGUGGGCUUCCAAUGACCCAACAAGUUCAUCCACUAUGAGAAUUGUCAAGUCCUUCGAUUCUUCGAUGGCGCACACGAUAGUUUCAAAAUAUUUUGUAAGGGAUCUCAAAAUGUUUUCCCAUAACCCGACUAGAUGGCAUUUUUUAUCCAUUCUUGCUGAGUUGAUUGACCACCUUCUCCACCUGAGUUAUGUACUUGGUUAUCUGCUCAUUGUGCCCCAUCUUC